RNAcentral lists this ribosomal RNA (254 nucleotides) under uncultured bacterium. RNAcentral's name for it is "partial 16S ribosomal RNA". It matches the Rfam family "Bacterial small subunit ribosomal RNA", at positions 524 to 777 of the family's 1533-position model. The record is from RNAcentral.
UACGAAGGGGACUAGCGUUGUUCGGAUUUACUGGGCGUAAAGCGCACGUAGGCGGAUCGUUAAGUCGGGGGUGAAAUCCUGGAGCUCAACUCCAGAACUGCCUUCGAUACUGGCGAUCUUGAGUCCGGAAGAGGUGAGUGGAACUCCUAGUGUAGAGGUGGAAUUCGUAGAUAUUGGGAAGAACACCAGUGGCGAAGGCGGCUCACUGGUCCGGUACUGACGCUGAGGUGCGAAAGCGUGGGGAGCAAACAGGG